Long non-coding RNA from Puntigrus tetrazona (Sumatra barb), 741 nucleotides. RefSeq lists it as uncharacterized. NCBI's taxonomy places the organism in Eukaryota, Metazoa, Chordata, Actinopteri, Cypriniformes, Cyprinidae. The transcript is spliced from 3 exons. The record is from RefSeq and is a predicted model, not a curated record.
UCGUUGUUGUUCGGCUAAACAUCUUUACUUCUAAAUAAGUAAACGGGUAUAGGGGGAUAACGCAGUCAAGUUAUAUAUUUUGCAACAACGUGACGUCUUUGUCUGUUUUAGGCACUGAAAAAGAAACCGUUUCAGAACUUUUGACUGACAGAGUCAAGUUUUAAAUAGGAAAAACGUCUGUUCGAACGCGAUGCUACUGGUCUAAUUGGAUUCAGUGAUCUAUGCUAAGCUAUGCUAAAGGUGUUAUCGCCAGACCCGGAGACCGGCUGAAUAGAUUCUGGAAUCUAGGUAGAACUCAAUUUAUUAACUCUAGAGGAGUUGGGAGAUGAGCACAUUUCCCCCCAAAAGUGAAGUGUUCCUAUAAUAGCCGGAGUUUUUGUUCAGGAUUCUUGGAGGCCGGGUGCUUGCUGAGAGGUUUUGGGGAUUGUAGAUGCGUCACGCUGCAGGCGCAUAAGAGAAUGCCCCCGAAUAAACAGAACAGAGAUGCGACAAACGCACCGAUCAGAGACCUGCCGACCACAAACCUGCAGAGACCCAACGCAGACGGUCAGUACUGAGAUUCCAAAGGACUUCACUGAAUCAGCGAAUCUAACGACUAUUAGAAACGAAAAACUCACCGGCGCACACAGAGAGCAUUCCUCCCAGGAAGGCGGCUCUGUCCUUCGACUUCUUGUUCUCUUCUAAACACCUCGUGCAUCUGAGACCGGAAAUGGCCACCAGCGCGGCGAAGCUUGACAAGAG